RNAcentral lists this ribosomal RNA (253 nucleotides) under uncultured bacterium. Its description in RNAcentral is "partial 16S ribosomal RNA". It matches the Rfam family "Bacterial small subunit ribosomal RNA", at positions 524 to 776 of the family's 1533-position model. The record is from RNAcentral.
UACGAAGGGGGCUAGCGUUGCUCGGAAUCACUGGGCGUAAAGCGCACGUAGGCGGACUCUUAAGUCAGGGGUGAAAUUCUGGAGCUCAACUCCAGAACUGCCUUUGAUACUGAGAGCCUUGAGUCCGGAAGAGGUAAGUGGAACUGCGAGUGUAGAGGUGAAAUUCGUAGAUAUUCGCAAGAACACCAGUGGCGAAGGCGGCUUACUGGUCCGGUACUGACGCUGAGGUGCGAAAGCGUGGGGAGCAAACAGG